This 922-nucleotide ribosomal RNA is filed under the name uncultured Bacillota bacterium. RNAcentral describes it as "bacterial SSU rRNA". It matches the Rfam family "Bacterial small subunit ribosomal RNA", at positions 1 to 916 of the family's 1533-position model. The record is from RNAcentral. Lineage: Bacteria; Bacillati; Bacillota.
GGAUCCAGACUUUGAUUAUGGCUCAGGAUGAACGCUAGCUACAGGCUUAACACAUGCAAGUCGAGGGGCAGCGGGAUUGAAGCUUGCUUCAAUUGCCGGCGACCGGCGCACGGGUGAGUAACGCGUAUCCAACCUUCCGUACACUCAGGGAUAGCCUUUCGAAAGAAAGAUUAAUACCUGAUAGUAUCUUAAGCACACAUGUAAUUAAGAUUAAAGAUUUAUCGGUGUACGAUGGGGAUGCGUUCCAUUAGGUAGUAGGCGGGGUAACGGCCCACCUAGCCAACGAUGGAUAGGGGUUCUGAGAGGAAGGUCCCCCACAUUGGAACUGAGACACGGUCCAAACUCCUACGGGAGGCAGCAGUGAGGAAUAUUGGUCAAUGGACGAGAGUCUGAACCAGCCAAGUAGCGUGAAGGAUGAAGGUCCUACGGAUUGUAAACUUCUUUUAUAAGGGAAUAAACCCUCCCACGUGUGGGAGCUUGUAUGUACCUUAUGAAUAAGCAUCGGCUAACUCCGUGCCAGCAGCCGCGGUAAUACGGAGGAUGCGAGCGUUAUCCGGAUUUAUUGGGUUUAAAGGGAGCGCAGACGGGUCGUUAAGUCAGCUGUGAAAGUUUGGGGCUCAACCUUAAAAUUGCAGUUGAUACUGGCGUCCUUGAGUGCGGUUGAGGUGUGCGGAAUUCGUGGUGUAGCGGUGAAAUGCUUAGAUAUCACGAAGAACUCCGAUUGCGAAGGCAGCACACUAAUCCGUAACUGACGUUCAUGCUCGAAAGUGUGGGUAUCAAACAGGAUUAGAUACCCUGGUAGUCCACACGGUAAACGAUGGAUACUCGCUGUUGGCGAUAUACUGUCAGCGGCUUAGCGAAAGCGUUAAGUAUCCCACCUGGGGAGUACGCCGGCAACGGUGCAACUCAAAUGAAUUGACGG